GUCUAUGGCCAUACCACCCUGAACAUACCUGAUCUCAUCUGAUCUCAGAAGCUAAGCAGGGUCAGGCCUGGUUAGUACUUGGAUGGGAAAAAUGUAAAUUUUGAUGGUAGAAAUU
Molecule: ribosomal RNA, 115 nt
Filed under: Theropithecus gelada (gelada)
Lineage: Eukaryota; Metazoa; Chordata; Mammalia; Primates; Cercopithecidae
Source: RNAcentral